GCGAUGCGUCUUAAGCAUGCAAGUCGAGCGGGCUUAUUCGGGCAACUGGAUAAGUUAGCGGCGAACUGGUGAGUAACACGUAGGUAAUCUGCCGUGAAGUGGGGGAUAACCCAUGGAAACAUGGACUAAUACCGCAUAUACUCUUGCUACAUAAGUAGAGUAGAGGAAAGUUUUUUCGCUUCACGAUGAGCCUGCGGCCUAUUAGCCUGUUGGUAGGGUAAUGGCCUACCAAAGCUACGAUAGGUAGCCGACCUGAGAGGGUGACCGGCCACAUUGGGACUGAGAUACGGCCCAGACUCCUACGGGAGGCAGCAGCUGAGAAUCUUCCACAAUGGACGAAAGUCUGAUGGAGCGACAUCGCGUGAGGGAUGAAGGCCUUCGGGUUGUAAACCUCGGAAAUUAUCGAAGAAUGAGUGACAGUAGAUAAUGUAAGC
Molecule: ribosomal RNA, 434 nt
Filed under: Brachyspira pilosicoli
Lineage: Bacteria; Pseudomonadati; Spirochaetota; Spirochaetia; Brachyspirales; Brachyspiraceae
Description: bacterial SSU rRNA
Rfam family: Bacterial small subunit ribosomal RNA
Source: RNAcentral